CGCUGAAACGAGUACCUGCACCAGCGGCAAUAAUAAGGGACUCUCGGGAGGGUGCCGCACAGCCACCACCGCCCCCCACCACCCCACCCCACACACAUAUUCAUAUCUCCAUUCCUGCGACGCACCUUUUCCUCCUUCCCAGCAGCCCUUUCUGUGCUGUACUCUAUGAGUUGGUGCUCGCAUCUCCGACUGCGCAGGUUACCCCAGUAGCGCGUGAGGAGACUCCCUUGUUCUGACGCUUCGCUCCGUGGUUGCCCUCCCUCUCUUCUCCUCAUUUCGCUAGCCUGCAUCUCUGAAUAAGCGGGGGCGCUUCACGGACGGCAGGAGCGGCCGGACGCAAACUCAAGAGCAGGCAGGACCAGCAUCGCUUGCUCGUAUUAUCGUCAGAAAUCAUGCAGGAGUCGAACACACUCAUCUUCGACGUGCCGGACGCGUUUCAGGUGGAGUCGAUCAUCGGCCAGGGGGCGUACGGUGCGGUCUGCAAGGCUGUCUUCUGCGAUGACCAGAUCGCCGUGAAGAAGAUCCCGCACUACUCGCGCAGCGAGGACACGGCGCGCCGGGUGCUUCGCGAGAUCGAAAUACUGCAAAACCUUCAGUUCUGCGAGCAGGUAGUAGGCUGCCGCCUCUUCUUCCGACCCAAGAGCGAGGAGAAAGACGUGUACGUGGCAAUGGACUACAUCCCAGCCGACCUUUCUUCUGUAAUCAAGAACGGCGCCAUCACGCUUGACGAGAGCGUCGUGCGGUACAUAACGUGCCAGCUGCUGCUGGCACUGCGCGCACUGCACCGCUGCAAGGUACUGCACCGUGACGUGAGCACCCGCAACAUUCUGAUCCACUACAACUCACAGGUGUUCCUGUGCGACUUCGGGCUCAGUCGCUUCUUCGACCCGGAUGAGCAGCUCAGCUUCGGGGUCGUGACGCAGUGGUACCGCGCACCGGAGAUCAUCCUCGACGCGGCCUACAGUUACGCGAGCGAUGUGUGGAGUGUUGGGGUCAUCCUCGGUGAGCUGCUGCUGCGCCGCCACCUGUUCCCUGGAAAGUCAAACGACUCUGCGAAUCAGCUGCAGCUCAUCUUUCACCUGGUCGGCACGCCCUCCAAGGAUGUCUUUGACGCGGAUCGCUCCUUCGGCCGCGCCAGCCAGAACGCCAAGAACUACGCGCUAGCUUACAUCGAACGCCGCCCGUGCCCGUCCACGCUAGUGAAUCUUUUGUCCACCGCGCCGGUGCUGCACCACUCGGCCAUCGCCGCAGUGCCGCCGCAGGCAGUGCAGCUUGCCGAGCAGCUCCUGCAGUUCGACCCGGCCAAGCGACCGAGCGCCGACGAGGCCCUGCGACAUCCGUGGUUUGACCCGUGCCGCGCCUUCAUUGAUGAGGUGGUGCAGCACCAGGACGAGGAAGAGAUCCCGGUGUUUACGCAGACGCAGAACAUGAACGUCGAGGAGCUGGUGAAGCGCAUCGAGGAGGUGGUGCCGGUCUUCUCUGAGGAUCUGCUCGUGGAGGACGACGGCGGCGGUGCCGCGGGCAGUGCGUAGGCAGGCAUCCAGCUUUCUCGACGCCCCCUACGUGCGUGUGGCGGGCCGAAGAGAGGUGGCGUGACGCCUGCAGCAGGCAAACCGUCGCAGGGGUGAUGUUGGUGUGGCCCCUAGUCGAACAAGACGACGGAGCCGGGCGAUGCGAGAGAGAACAACGAUGCACAAGAGGGAAAAGAAAGCAAGAGAGGCGCGGGACGAGCCGCGGCGUGGCUGAGUGUGGCGGCGAUCGUGGCCGGCGGGGCGGCAGCCCACCCGUGCAGACGGGAAAACGGCGGGUCGAAGCAGAAGUACAAGAGAGGGAGCAAAGAGAUGGCGCUUCGAACCAAACGACAGGGGAACAGCCGGAGAGGAGGAGGGGGAGGCUUCCAUCGCACGCAUCUUCUUUCCCUUGACCCUUCACCAAGCACCAUCAUCACGCGCAUGGUAAUGGUGAUGAUGGCGGCCGCGGAUGGCGCGUUGCCCUUGUACGCUGAGCUCUCUUUGUUGGCAUCGGUUCCGUCAUUCUCUGUCUUGUGUGUGCGUGCGUGCGUGUGUGUGUGUAUGUAUGGUGGUGCCCUCGACUUUUUUUUGCUCACGAAUGUUCAGCC
This 2119-nucleotide unclassified non-coding RNA is filed under the name Leishmania donovani. RNAcentral's name for it is "gene:LdHU3.03.0210(CDS-product:protein_kinase_put ative)". Lineage: Eukaryota; Euglenozoa; Kinetoplastea; Trypanosomatida; Trypanosomatidae. The record is from RNAcentral.